UACGUAGGGGGCUAGCGUUGUCCGGAAUCAUUGGGCGUAAAGCGCGUGUAGGCGGUUCGGUAAGUCCGCUGUGAAAGUCGGGGGCUCAACCCUCGGAUGCCGGUGGAUACUGUCGGACUAGAGUACGGAAGAGGCGAGUGGAAUUCCUGGUGUAGCGGUGAAAUGCGCAGAUAUCAGGAGGAACACCGAUUGCGAAGGCAGCUCGCUGGGACGUUACUGACGCUGAGACGCGAAAGCGCGGGGAGCAAACAGG
This 253-nucleotide ribosomal RNA is filed under the name uncultured bacterium. RNAcentral describes it as "partial 16S ribosomal RNA". It matches the Rfam family "Bacterial small subunit ribosomal RNA", at positions 524 to 776 of the family's 1533-position model. The record is from RNAcentral.